GAUGAACGCUGGCGGCGUGCCUAAUACAUGCAAGUCGAGCGAACGGACGCGGCGCUUGCUUUUCUGUUGUUUGCGGCGGACGGGUGAGUAACACGUGGAUACCCUCCCUAUCAGACUGGGAUAACUUCGGGACACCGGCGCUUAUCCCGUAUAAUAUUUUGCACCGCAUGGUUCAAAGGUGAAUGACGGUCUUUCUGUCACUUAUAGAUGGAUCCGGGCUGCAUUGGCUAGUUGGUAAGGUAACGGCUUUCCAAGGCAACUAUGCAUAGCCGACCUGUGAGGGUGAUCGGCCACACUGGAAGGGAGACACGGUCCAGACUCCUACGGGAGGCAGCAGUAGGGAAUCGUCCGCAAUGGGCGAAAGCCUGACGGAGCAACGCCGAGUGAGUGAUGAAGGUCUUGGGAUCGUAAAACUCUGUUAUUAGGGAAGAACAUAUGUGUAAGUAACUGUGCACAUCUUGACGGUACCUAAUCAGAAAGCAACGGCUAACUACGUG
Molecule: ribosomal RNA, 497 nt
Filed under: uncultured bacterium
Lineage: Bacteria
Description: partial 16S ribosomal RNA
Rfam family: Bacterial small subunit ribosomal RNA
Source: RNAcentral